UCUCAAUGAUAAAAGAAAUAAGAGAAGAGUAAAGUAAAGAAAAGUAGAAUAUGAGUUUGUUGUUAUUGUUGUUUAUGCGAUUGUUAUUUUUGUUUUGUUUUUUACAAAUUGUAAUUGAUAGCAAAAGUGUGUAAUUAAAAGAGUUACCAAUGUGAAAAUUUAUAUAUUAUUCAAACGGGAAUCGGUGCGGGUAUUAAAAUAUAAAUAUAAAAUAAUGCGUACUCUAAUGGAAACAUAAUGGUCGCAGAUUUCCGGUAUGCAGGAAGGACAUUCAAAAGGAAACCACCGGAAGGAAACAUUAAAAUGCUGAUUUAAUGCUUACUUAACAGACGACAAUAAUAACUAAAGGAAAAUCGCCAAAUUGUCAUUGCUUAAGAAAAAAAAGAAAGAAAUUUAUUAAUUCCUGGUAUUUACUACUUUUUUGAUGACAAAAUAAAACAUGACUGUUGAUUGCUUGCUUGUCCUUCUUUCUAUCUCUUGUUCUACAUAAAAACCAAAAGAAAUACAUACAAUGUAAUUUCAUUAUUACCUAGUAUUCACAUCGUUUUUGAUGACGAACUGAAACAUGAUUGAUUUUGCUUGUCCUUUUUUCUUCUGCAUACGAACUGAAAAAAACAUAAAAGAAUUUUAUAGUUUCCAGGUAUUUACUUAUAUUUUGAUGACAAAAUAAAACAAGAUUGUUGUUGAUUGUUUGCCCUUCUUUCUCUUCUUGUUCUACAUACCAAUAGAAAGCAUACAUUGUAAAAUUAUGAGCAUCUGUUACCUAUUUGCUGAAGUAAAACAAUUUUACAUUCUUAUUGUUGGCGACAAAAUAAAACGAGAGUGAUAGAAAGAUAGAUAAAUGAUCUAUCUCCUUUUGCUACUUGUAAAUUAUAUUCACUGUAAGUGUUGUUGUUGUUUUUAAGUUUUUUUGAUUAAUGUGUACUCGCUAUGUAUGUUUUUAAAUUAAUUCUUAGUUAUUCUUUUCUGUUUUUUCUUACUGAAAUUUCUGAUAAACUGGUAUUAAGUAUUUUAUAAAAUAACACUAAGUACAAAAAGAAGGUGUACGUACAUAAAGAUAUAAUAGAUAAUGUAAUUAAGUUGUAUUGCUAUUUUAUUUAGUUCAUUUAGUUAAACCAAUUUUAUAAAAAAUUAAUUUAAAAAAAACAAAUACUCAAACAUAUCAUAAUGUCACAAUCACUUUAAAGUAAUUGAUUAUACCCAAAAAAACAUAUAUGUAAUAUAAAUAAAACAAAACUAAAUAUUAUAUGCUAAAAUUUCUGAACUCCUAUUAAUUCGUCAAUAUUUGUAAGCAAAAUUCUCUAUGAUUUUAAUAUUAUGUAUGUAUGUGUUCGCAAGAAAAUGUGAAAUAAAUAAAUAUAAAAAAGCACUUAUAUUUAUUAAGCUUUUCGAUAAUUAUGUGCGCCUAGUAUUUUAAUAAAAUUUGUUAAGAAUUAUUUAAAAUUUUGCUAUA
Lucilia cuprina (Australian sheep blowfly) is the source of this 1453-nucleotide long non-coding RNA. RefSeq lists it as uncharacterized. The record is from RefSeq and is a predicted model, not a curated record. The transcript has 8 exons. NCBI's taxonomy places the organism in Eukaryota, Metazoa, Arthropoda, Insecta, Diptera, Calliphoridae.